Molecule: long non-coding RNA, 1694 nt
Filed under: Medicago truncatula (barrel medic)
Lineage: Eukaryota; Viridiplantae; Streptophyta; Magnoliopsida; Fabales; Fabaceae
Description: lncRNA gene17152
Source: RNAcentral
UUCAACAAUAAAAUUUUAGACAACUGAAAGCAAUCCUUUUGUACAAUUUGUUUAAUGAAUUUGCAUAAGUUUGAAUAUCGCGAUACACAGACAAGCACACCAAAAAAGCCAAAGAGACCAAAACAAAACUUAAUUGCUCAUAGGCCUUGAUAUUCCAUAGUUUUACAUGUACAGAAGGUGGUUAGUCUGAGCUAUGCUAACAUUUACUUGCACAAGAUGCCUAAAAAACUUGGGGCAAAAACACUACCGGGUAUACAAAGAGGGCAGGAUCUCAGACCCUGUGAUCCUUUAACGUGCCCAUAAAACUGGUUAGCCCCGGACUACAAAAGAUUGAGCUAUAGAUACAACAUUACUUCUACAAAUGAAAAAAUUGAUGAGAAAGAGAUACAUCUACACUACUACUCCUCUUUCACGUCUAGUGAAUGCAGUUCAGCUAAAAGACGAUCAUAUUCAUGCCGGGCUUCCUCUAUUUUACUUCUAAGCUGUGUCACCUGCACAAUCAUAACCACUUCUCUUAGAUCAGAGAUACAAAACUUCAACCGUACAAUUUAUCGAUGAAGGUUUGUGUAUCUUCUUUUCUAUGUCGUUACUUUAGGGGUGGAUAAUUUGGAAUAAUUCAUUUUAAUGCAGAAUCCGAAGAAUUCCAGUACUCAAUAAAUCUUCGAAUACAACUCAACCAACAGUACACUGUACAAAAGCUGUUCUCUAUGAAUUAGGCAACAGGAAAAUCAAAGUAAUUAACCAAACAUUACCUUUAAAUUAAGUUCUUCCUCUCUCUUUUCAAAUUCCAAACAACUGCAGGGAAAAUAAUACAAAUAAGAUAUAUAGCAACCAUUUCUAAUUCUAAAUAGGAGAAAUAAACUGAGUCGGGUAAGUCCUCUGAAAUCAAAAAAAGAAAAUGAAACCAAUCCAACUAGUAAAACAAUAGUAUUCUCUACAAUCAAGAAUUAUCAGACUGGCAUUAAUUAGAAAUAUACUCACUUCGCAUGUAGUUUAUUAUUUUCUUGCAUCAAUGUUAUAGUCUCUGGGUUAACGACCUGGUCUGCAGGAGUUGUGGUGAUCUACAUAAAAUGCAAGGGUUAAGUGGCAUUAAAUAUCUUACAGUGAACUAGAUUGCAAGAAUCAAAAGUACAGGGAAAUCAAGUAAUUUAAAAUGGGCAGUUUAUCUCUAGAGUACUGAGGAAAACAUAAUAUACACCAAACAGACAGUAAAUUGGAAAAGAUAUAGGUAUCAAUAGUACAACUUGGUACUAUAAAGCUCCGACUAUGGUGGGGCCCAAAAUAGGACAGAGACACUGUGGGUCUAUGUCUCUAUGAUAAAUAGUCUUUCGUUGCACUUUCAAUCCUGUUCGCCUGCCUUCUACAAAUGUUUAUCAAUAGCGAUAACAGAAUUGAACAGAAACUAAAUGUCAUGCUGAGUUGUCACAUAAAUUUGCUCUAUCUCAUUGUUAUACCAAUGAAGAACUAAGGAUCCAUUUGGCUUGAGAAAACACUAUUUGCUUAUAUUUUUAAUCGGCAAAAUUGCUCAUGCAGUCUUUUAAUCUGUUGCACGGACACUUCUGAUUGAAGGCGUGUCCCGGUGUCCGACAUGUAUCAAGUCCGACACCGAUACUCGUGAUUAAUUGAAUUAUGUCAUUUCUCAAUUUAUCUGUGUUGACAUGUUCGUGUCCAGUGUCUGUGUCCGUGCUUCAUUU